RNAcentral lists this ribosomal RNA (485 nucleotides) under uncultured bacterium. RNAcentral's name for it is "bacterial SSU rRNA". It matches the Rfam family "Bacterial small subunit ribosomal RNA", at positions 523 to 1010 of the family's 1533-position model. The record is from RNAcentral.
AUACGAAGGGGGCUAGCGUUGUUCGGAAUCACUGGGCGUAAAGCGUAUGUAGGCGGAUCAAAAAGUUAGAUGUGAAAUCCCUGGGCUCAACCCAGGAACUGCAUUUAAAACUAGUGAUCUAGAAAUUGGUAAGGGUUAGUAGAAUUUCCAGUGUAGAGGUGAAAUUCGUAGAUAUUACACAGAACACCGAUAGCGAAGGCAGCUCACUAGGCCUGGAUUGACGCUCAGGGACGAAAGCGUGGGGAUCAAACAGGAUUAGAUACCCUGGUAGUCCACGCUGUAAACGAUGAUUACUCGUUUUCGGCGAUAUACAGUCGGAGACUAAGCGAAAGUGAUAAGUAAUCCACCUGGGGAGUACGAUCGCAAGGUUGAAACUCAAAGGAAUUGACGGGGCCCGCACAAGCGGUGGAGCAUGUGGUUUAAUUCGAUGAUACGCGAGGAACCUUACCAGGGCUUAAAUGCAGAGCGAAUAGUUUGGAAACAGG